CCUACGGGAGGCAGCAGUCGAGAAUCAUUCACAAUGGGGGAAACCCUGAUGGUGUGACGCCGCGUGGGGGAAUGAAGGUCUUCGGAUUGUAAACCCCUGUCAUGUGGGAGCAAAUUAAAAAGAUAGUACCACAAGAGGAAGAGACGGCUAACUCUGUGCCAGCAGCCGCGGUAAUACAGAGGUCUCAAGCGUUGUUCGGAAUCACUGGGCGUAAGGCGUGCGUAGGCUGUUUCGUAAGUCGUGUGUGAAAGGCGCGGGCUCAACCCGCGGACGGCACAUGAUACUGCGAGACUAGAGUAAUGGAGGGGGAACCGGAAUUCUCGGUGUAGCAGUGAAAUGCGUAGAUAUCGAGAGGAACACUCGUGGCGAAGGCGGGUUCCUGGACAUUAACUGACGCUGAGGCACGAAGGCCAGGGGAGCGAAAGGGAUUAGAUACCCCAGUAGUC
This 446-nucleotide ribosomal RNA is filed under the name uncultured bacterium. RNAcentral's name for it is "partial 16S ribosomal RNA". It matches the Rfam family "Bacterial small subunit ribosomal RNA", at positions 338 to 795 of the family's 1533-position model. The record is from RNAcentral.